Molecule: ribosomal RNA, 432 nt
Filed under: uncultured bacterium
Lineage: Bacteria
Description: partial 16S ribosomal RNA
Rfam family: Bacterial small subunit ribosomal RNA
Source: RNAcentral
AACGAACGCUGGCGGCAGGCCUAACACAUGCAAGUCGAGCGAGAUCUUCGGGUCUAGCGGCGGACGGGUGAGUAACGCGUGGGAAUAUGCCUCUUGGUACGGAAUAGCCUCGGGAAACUGGGAGUAAUACCGUAUGUGCCCUUUGGGGGAAAGAUUUAUCGCCAAGAGAUUAGCCCGCGUUGGAUUAGGUAGUUGGUGGGGUAAUGGCCUACCAAGCCGACGAUCCAUAGCUGGUUUGAGAGGAUGAUCAGCCACACUGGGACUGAGACACGGCCCAGACUCCGACGGGAGGCAGCAGUGGGGAAUCUUAGACAAUGGGGGCAAACCUGAUCUAGCCAUGCCGGGUGAGUGAUGAAGGCCUUAGGGUUGUAAAGCGCUUUCAGCUGGGAAGAUAAUGACGGUACCAGCAGAAGAAGCCCCGGCUAACUCCGU